Molecule: unclassified non-coding RNA, 2167 nt
Filed under: Stegodyphus dumicola
Lineage: Eukaryota; Metazoa; Arthropoda; Arachnida; Araneae; Eresidae
Description: b-cell linker protein-like, transcript variant X1
Source: RNAcentral
AACGAAAAUGGUCGCAAAGGUACAUUUUUAAUUUUUACAAUUUAUAUCGAGAACUGCCUUUGAACAUGGACUAGAAACUGUGACUCAAUUUCAUGUACUCUUCCGUAAUUUAAAAGUCUUGUGUAACCUUUUCCAUGAGUAUAAAAAUUUUAUUUGAAAUCCUUGGCUGAAGGGCAAGUGCUCAUACACCUAGUUCGAUACAUAAUUACCAUGUCGACUAAUGCAGAAAAUUACGAUACAAUAGAUGACCACAGAGAAAACUCUGAUGAUGAUGAUUCUUGGGGUUCUGAUUUUGACGAUGCUUCUGUAAACGCAAACUAUUCCCGAGAAAUUGAAGAUAAUAUAAUUAACGAAGAUCUGGAAGCUCAGUUAAAUCAGGUCCUUUCUUUGAGCAGUGAAAAUCACACAUCUGUUUCUGAGCCAAGCAGUGCACCUGCUGCAGAAAAUACUUAUGGUAAUGUGAAUGUACUUGGUAAUGCUCUUUCAGCAUUUUCUUAUACCAGAAGCAAUGAUAUCUCAGAAGUUAGUAGCAACAGAUUUAUCAAUAAAACUCCAGGCAAUCAAAGGAUACCUGCAUUAUCUACCCCUCCAGUGCAAGAACGGAUGGCAGUUGUAACUUCUUCACAUAGUUUAGUUGCUUCUAAUGAAGUUACAGAAAGGAUAUCUCCGACAAGUAAAAAUAAUAUUCCCACAGGAUGCUCAGAUAAUAAACAAACUCUUAAUCAGAAUUCUGAACUAAAUCGCGGAAAUAAAACACCAGGAAAACUUAAAGCAGAUGCAUUCGCCUUCCUGAAGAAUAUUCCAAGUGCUAGGUCGGCAAAUGAGGAUAAAGAGAGGAAACACCUAGUGGCAACUGCUUUCGUUCAUGCUGUAAAACUCGAGAAGCAAAACUUGAGUCAAAAUUCUGGCGUAAAUAUAAGUGAUGAAAAAUAUGAAUGGACACAUCCUAUACCAUCAGCUCCACUUUCGUCAUCUUUGAGUUCAGACACAGAUGAGGAAGAUUUAAGAAUUAAUCCCCACUCAUUUCAUAACGGUAGUGAGUCGGAUAAUUUAAGAAACAAGAGAAGUAUUCCCACGUUUGCAAAUAUGAAAUCAAGAGAAACUCCGGAAGUUUCGAAACCACCGCUACCCUCUCGCCCUCCACCAAUUUUCGCACUUCAUACCGGAAAGAACGCAAAAGCAAAUACCUCAGUCACAUCAGAUAAACCACAAAUUCAAAUUCCUGCUGGAAGAUCAACAAAACCUACUCCCACUGAAGCCAGUUCAAGUUUACAAACAGGACAUCAGAGAACAUCAGUUGGUAAAUUAACUGCAGUUGUAAAGGAGAAAUCAUUGGAGGGUCGACUGCAGGAAUCUUUCAGACCAGUUCCUCUUACAGCCCCUUCGCUUUAUCCAAUAAUUGAUGAGUCUUCGUCUGGCAAUGAAAAUGCAGCAACAACGCCUCCAGAAAUUUCUCUUGCACCACCAUUGCCAAAACCGAAACCAAGGCAAAGUCUUGAUACGCAUUUAUCAAAAGAUGAAAAUCUGUCAACAAAACAGAAUAAAACAGAAGUGGACAUUAAUGUGCCUAAAUUCAGAAGGUCUUUGGGCUCUAGUAUGGAGAUUUUAUCAGAAGCAAAACAGCCAUUUCCCUCAUCAACUAUAAUACAGGCAGCAAACAUGGAACAAAAACCAAAGCCACCCAAGCCGAUUUCUCCAAUAGACGAUGAAAACUGGCCAAACUAUCUGAACCGUCCUCAGCUCCCACAAAAACUUAAACAGACGCAUAGAUCGCUGUCUUGCAGUAGUUUGGUUCAGUCCUUCAAAGAAAUGAGUUUUCCCAAAAGGAAUCAAUCUAAAGACAAAAAGCCCUUUGAACCAUCACCGACACCAAGAAUUACAGAAGGCCUUGAUCCUAAGGACAAACUGCUAUAUCCUGAAGGCGAAACUUGAUGCAAAUAUUUUCCUGACCAAGGCUAUUGGACGAAAAGAAUUCUUAAAGCCGAGCAGACCCCUGCAGAAAGUUUGCUUUUGAUAGAUGAAAAGCUCCAAAAACACCUCAGCGUCCAAGUAAAGAAGUUGUUGUAAAAGAUAUCACUCGGAAUGCUUGGUUUCAUGAUUUAAAUGCUGUUCAAGCUCAAGUUAGGCUAUUGAACAUGAAACAAAACGGGGCCUUCCUAGUCCGGUA